CGGUUUAUGUUGUAUACCAUACUUCCUUAUUACCUUGUUCAGGCCCGAUUCUUGGGAGGUGCUGAGUGUGCUAGUGCACCG
This is a non-coding RNA of Arabidopsis thaliana (thale cress), 81 nucleotides long. The record is from RefSeq. Lineage: Eukaryota; Viridiplantae; Streptophyta; Magnoliopsida; Brassicales; Brassicaceae.